AUGGCCACGAUGUCCCGCUCCGACGACGAAGACUCCACGCCGGCGAUGCGCCGCCUCCGACGCCUCUCCCUCCACCUCCAACAGUCCUCCGAUCGGCCCGCUCCCGAGGGGGCUAAUGCCCUGGUCCCCACCGCGUGCGCGGGGAAGCGGCGGGCGGGGGGCCUGGACGUGGACGCGGCAGCGCUCACCGCGUACCUGCGGGGGCGGCACUGGGCGACGCAGGAGCGGUUAUACAGGUUCUUCGUCGAGCGGCCGGAGCUCCACACGCCCGUCGAGCUGCCCAUGGGCGCCCACCGCGAGCUCUGCUACCGGCAGAUGGCAGCACUCGUUCGCGAGGCCGGGGUGCGGCCGCUCAGCCUCAUGGCAGACGACCCCGACGAGUACUUCGCCGUCAUGGAGGCCGUCGGCGGGCUCGACAUCUCCCUCGCCGUCAAGUUCGGCGUACAGUACAGUCUUUGGGGUGGUUCUAUAAUAAAUUUGGGAACCAAGAAGCACAGGGAAAAGUACUUUGACAAAAUCGAUAAUUUGGAUUAUCCUGGCUGUUUUGCUAUGACAGAACUGCAUCAUGGAUCCAAUGUUCAAGCCCUACAGACCACUGCUACAUUUGAUUCAGUUACUGAUGAGUUCAUUAUUGAUACACCAAACAAUGGAGCCAUUAAGUGGUGGAUUGGCAACUCAACUCUUCAUGGAAAAUUCGCUACUGUUUUUGCGAGGUUAAUUUUACCGCUUCAGGGAAAAGGAGGGGAACCUGCUGACAUGGGAAUUCAUGCAUUUAUUGUCCCGAUUCGGGACCUUGAAACCCAUGCUGUUCUUCCUGGAAUUGAGAUCAAUGAUUGUGGGCACAAGAUAGGCCUAAAUGGUGUGGAUAAUGGUGCCCUGAGAUUCCGUUCAGUUAGGAUACCCCGUGACAAUCUUCUGAGCAGAUUCGGUGAUGUGGCGCGAGAUGGAAAAUACACAAGCAGUCUCCCCACAAUUAAUAAAAGGUUUGCAGCAACCCUUGGUGAGCUUGUCGGGGGACGAGUUAGUCUUGCAUAUAGUUCUGUGGGUAUACUCAAAGUUGCAGUAACCAUUGCUGUUAGAUAUGCUUUACUGCGUCAACAAUUUGGUCCACCUAAGCAGCCUGAAAUCAGUGUGCUGGAUUACCAAUCUCACCAGCACAAACUAAUGCCUAUGUUGGCAUCAGCGUAUGCAUUUCAUUUUGCCAGGCGGUAUUUGGUAGAUAAGUACUCGGAAAUGAAGAAAACCAAUGACGAGGAUAUUAGCGCUGAUGUCCAUGUACUUUCAUCUGGGUUGAAGUCCUACAUAACUUCAUACACAGCAAAAUCUAUUAGCAUAUGCCGAGAAUCUUGUGGUGGCCAUGGGUAUGCUGCUGUAAAUCGUUUUGGUGGUCUGCGGAAUGACCAUGAUAUAUUUCAAACAUUUGAAGGAGACAAUACAGUUCUGCUGCAGCAGGUUGCCGGCGAUCUCCUGAAGCAAUAUCAGCAAAAAUUUAAGGGCGGAACACUCUCAGUCACCUGGAACUACUUGAGAGACUCCAUGAGCACCUACUUGUCUCAGCCUAACCCCGUUACUGCUCGGUGGGAAGGGGAAGACCAUCUAAGGGAUCCUAAAUUUCAGCUGGAUGCAUUCAGAUAUCGAACAUCUAGACUACUGCAUAGUGUUGCUGCUCGACUCCAGAAGCACAUGAAGACACUUGGAGGUUUUGGUGCGUGGAACAGAUGUUUAAACCAUCUGCUCACGCUCGCGGAAUCACACGUUGAGGCUGUCAUCCUCGCAAGGUUUAUAGAAGCAGUGAAGAGUUGCCCUGAUGCAAAAACACGUGAAGUACUGAAGCUGGUGUGCGACCUUUAUGCGCUCGAUAGGAUCUGGAAAGACAUCGGGACAUAUCGGAAUGUAGACUAUGUCGCGCCAAACAAAGCCAAGGCUAUCCACAAACUGGUAGACUACCUCAGUUACCAAGUGAGGCUUGUUGCUCGUGAACUCGUCGACGCCUUCGAUCUUCCAGAUGAAGUCAUCCGUGCGCCAAUCGGCAUGCAAUCGGAGGCCUACGCUCAGUAUACACAGUGUGUCGGCUUCUAG
Molecule: ribosomal RNA, 2079 nt
Filed under: Triticum aestivum (bread wheat)
Lineage: Eukaryota; Viridiplantae; Streptophyta; Magnoliopsida; Poales; Poaceae
Description: partial small subunit ribosomal RNA
Source: RNAcentral